Salmo salar (Atlantic salmon) is the source of this 53-nucleotide non-coding RNA. The record is from Rfam. NCBI's taxonomy places the organism in Eukaryota, Metazoa, Chordata, Actinopteri, Salmoniformes, Salmonidae.
AUCUAAUAUUAAGUAAGUCGCUCUGGAUAAGAGCGUCUGCUAAAUGACUAAAA